Molecule: non-coding RNA, 7528 nt
Organism: Ictidomys tridecemlineatus (thirteen-lined ground squirrel)
Lineage: Eukaryota; Metazoa; Chordata; Mammalia; Rodentia; Sciuridae
Source: RefSeq, a predicted model, not a curated record
UUGCUGUUUCCAUUAUUUAAUAUUUAGAUAUAGGUCAAUGCCGCCCCCCAUCCCCUCCCCCAAUUUUCAAGUUAACCCAGAUCUUUCUGAUGGGUGCAGAAGGAUGAUGGAUGCUUAACAUAUUCUGCAGUUAGUUUUCAUGACAACAUUUAUGUCAGAUAAAAUUCUUCUAGGAUCUACCUGCUUUUAAAACUAAUUUACUUUUUACUACACCAUAGGUCUCACUAAUGUUCUAAGAUUCCUUUUUUUUUUCUUUUUCUUUUUAUCAUUUUUCUCCUUUGAGGUUAAAAUAUGCAAAUCUGGAACCGCACUGGAAGAGGUCAGAUCGUGGACAUUCUAGCUAGAUGACCUUUCACUGUAAAGCUGUUUCACGGGAAGACCUCCUUUGAACCCUACUUAGCACUUUACUCCUUUCUCUUGAACUUCAGAAAGUUUUAUGGUUUCUUUUGAUGUCUUAUCACAGCAUCUCCAGGUGGACUCCGCUGUUUUCAGCUGCCCCGGGGAACAGGAAAAGCCACUGGCUCCUGCGACAGUGGCUGACAUUACAGUCAACAUUCAGAAGUUGACAGACAAGUAACUUCAUCAACUUGUGGUCCACUGUCUCCUUCACGCUGCACGGCUCUUAGCAAGAGGGUUAGGAUCAUAAGCAGAGAGAUGGUGGGGUGAGACCAUACUGAGGCUCUCUCAAGCACACAAGCUCACAUUCCUCUUUAACCAUCUGUCAGCCUCAGAGACUCUUCCUAAACUCCAGCACACUUUCUCCCCCAAGUCCCUUUUUCAUUUACAUUUGUAUUCUACAAGCUCAAGUGUUUUUUCUGAGACAUAGCUUUUUUUUUUUUUUUUAAAAAACUGUGAUAUUUGUCUAAUUCUGAUUCACAAAUUCCCUUUCAAUCGUUGCAACAUUACCUGCCCCAAAUCCCACACAUGCAUUGCCAGCCACAGAACCUCCUGCAAUGUUCAGUUUCUGUGUGUGAUAUUUAAGCCGGAAAAACACUCUCCCAUUUUAUUGUGCCAUUCUUCAGUCAUGAUCCGUGUGACCCAUCAGAUUCGACAUUGGUUUUUAUGUUCCUUCUUGGACACACAGUGUAGCAAUAUAUCAAGGCCCAGUGUUGGGCAAUAGAAUUCUUUCUUUAGCUCUCUGUGAGUCAGAACCUCAGGAUUUUCACAAUCAUCUUUAAAGUCCUCUGGCUUUAUGGUACCUCAUUUCCUAAAGUAUAACUCUAUUUACAAAGUGAGCGAUUGGGAAAUGGGGCAAAGAGCAGAUGUGUCAAGAAAUGCUGCUGCUGCAGUGUGGUAAGAGCUCUGUCCAGGUCUGCACCGAGUGCUGUGGAAUUCAUGCAUGCCCAGAGAAUUGUUAUUCAUGAUAGCCAGAAAGUAGGAAAAACCCAAUGUCCAACCGGUGAAUGGGACAAAACGCAGCAUAGUCACACACUGGAAAUUACUUGGCAGUAAAGAGGAAUGAAGAGUAGCACAUGGUACAAGGAAUGAGCCUGAAAACAUUAUGUGGGGUGAUAGAAAGCAGUCAGAAAGGACCCUGUACUGUAUGGUUCCAUGUAUGUGAAAUGUCCAGAAUGGGCAGAGCCCAUAGCAACAGAAAGUAGAUUGGCAGUUGCCCAGAGAUGGUGAGGGGAGGGGUGGGAGAGAGGAUGGUGGUUGGAGGAGGCAGGAUUUCUUUUUGGCGUGAUGAAAAUGUUCUUAAAUUGAUAGCAGUGAUGCUUGCACAACUCUGUGAAUAUAGGAAAAGCCAUGGAGUUACAGGCUUCAAAUGGGCCAAUUGCUCUAUAUGAAUGACAUUUUAAUCAAGCUGUUAAAAAAUGCUAUGGGAGCAGAGAAGAAUGCAUGAAUCACUGACAUUGUCAUGGGGACGGUAACCAGCACUUACAGAACAUCUGAGCCUCAGCGCAGCCUUCAGCUGGGGGCUGUCACCCCCAUAUACCGAGAACUGAAUCUGUCCCUGGCCCCAGAGCAGGGUCAGGAGGUGGUCUCCAGCCUGUGGGACUCCUGUCAGCAGUGCUUGGUGUUUACCACACUUCCUCUCAGAGGAGGUGAUGUUUUUUACUUCUCUUUAAUGUAUCUACAGGAGCUCAUAAGGCAGGGAUGGCCAAAUAGGGGCAUUCAGACAGAAAAGCACGUGGCCAAGGUCCCAGCAGAAAAGAGAGGAUGCCUGCAAUCUGGGUAAUUUGAAGAGAGAUAAGAGAUCAACAAAAUGGCCACUUUCAAGGGCAUGGACAGUUCAAGGAACCAAGCUAGGGAUAGUAAAGACCUGACACAUCCAGGCUUGCAGGGGCACGAAGGAGAAGCUAUUGUGGAACCCCGACAGGAUGUUUAUACAUUGGAGGCUGCCUUCCUUCCACAAAGGGACACAGCAACAAGAGCAUCCCAGUGUGUGAGAGCACAGACAGCAACUGCCCUGAUUCAUUCUCCUCCUACCUCUGAUCUCUGCCAGCCCUUUUUAUAUACCGUACUCAGCAAGAGGCUAGAGGGCAGAGAGUGUCAUGAAAGGUAGACCUAGAGGGACAAAUGGAAGGUAGUCAGCAAGAUGUGGAGGCAUAAAAACAACAGCAAGUUCCAGGGUUGGUCAAGGGCACAGUGAACCAUGGUACCAUCCUAGUGGUCUCCCCUGGUUCUUGGUCUUCCCCAUGUUCUCGUCCUGAACCAGGUUUUGCGUCUGUAUGCCUGAGAGGUGUCCUCAAAAGAUUUUCCCGAGUGAGCCCCCAAAUCCUUCUUCCCUUUUCCCAAGACAUUGCAGGCUCUCAUUUUCCUAAUUCCUUAUGCCCUUGCUCUUACCCUCAUGGACCGUCUCAGACAGGGAAGGCCUUCCAAGAUACGUGAACUUCUAAGCUACACGCAUUCUGGCUGUAUGACCUUACACGAGUUAUUAAUCUUUGUGUGUCUUAGUUUUAACAUCUGUAAAAUAAGAAUAAUAAUAUCUGCCUUUAAGUUGGGUUUAGAUUUUUAUAUUAUUUUUCUCAAAAAAUCUAACAUAAAAAUCUAGGUGGAUUCUUAUUAAUAAAUGGAGAAAAUUAACAAACCUUUGUAACAGAGUUAACACAAAGGACACAAACACUUGAAACAAUGGCCAUGUCAGUAAACUUUGGUGGGAACAACAGCUCAACAUAAUUUUACAGGAAGACAUUGAUUUCCUGGAAUUGCGUUUCCCAAUAUGGUAGCCACAUUUGGCUACUGAGAUGUGAAAUGUAGCUAGUCAAAAUCUAUAUGUCAUAAAAUGUACACAGACUUAAAAUACAGUAUUAAAAUGUAAAAUAUCUCAAUAAUUUUAUACUGAUUAUAUAUUAAAAGGUAAUAUUUGGAUAGGCUGGAAAACAUUGAAUAACACAUAUUACUAAAUUUAAUUUCACUUGUUUCCUUUUUACUUUUUUAUACUGUGGACACAAAAAUUUUAAAAUCACAUUUGUGGUAUGGUUGUAUUUCUCUUCGGACUCUUCUAGAAGAAAAGAACUUUAGAUACAGAAGCACUAAUGAAUUCGUUUUGGUAAAUCUUUGCAUAUUAAUAAACAAAUAAGAUCUGGGUAGAAAAUUAGGUUUAUAAAUGUGAACUAAGACAUUUUGUUUAGAAGUUGGAAGGCAUGAUUUCUUAUAAAAGAAUGUAAACAUUUGUUUUGUUUUCUUAUCUUCAUGUUCUCCAAGGAAGAGUCAGGCAUUGUAUUAAUUGCUCAGUGAAUGCUAAGUUAAAUUGACUAAGAUUGGGGAAGGAACUAAUUCAUAAGAGAAGGAAAUGGGGUGUUAGAGAAUUGUGCAUUUGACGGUGUACUCACUUUUACGGUGUGACUUUUAGAUGAUGUUUCCAUGUCACUAGUUAAUGUCUUCUUGUUUUAGGUUGAGGAACUCUGGUUAGCACGUCUGAUGGGGAAGUCUAGUAAUGAUGCACUGCCUCAGCUUUGGUUUGUCAUGGAAUGUCUUUGUUUUUCCCUCAUUUCUGAAAGUAUAGCUUCCCUGAUUGGAAGAUUUUCCUUCAGUACUUCCAAUAUACCAUCCUACUUUUGCCUGGCCAGUAACAUUUCCGCUAAGAAAUUCUCUGAUAACCUUAUGAAUGCUCCCUAGUAUGUAAAGAGCCUCUUUUUUCUUGCUGCUUUCUAAUUUUUCUCUUUGUCUUUGGUUUUGGGCAGUUUGAUUAUAGAUGGCCCCUGACUUAUGAAGGUGUGAAAGCCAUACUCACUCCGUAGAAACCGUACUCUGAAUUUUAAAUUUUGAUCUUUUCUGAGGCUUGCAAUUUGUGAUAUGAUAUUCUCUUCUGAUGCAGGGCAAUGACCAUCAACUAUACCUCCCAGUCAGGCACAGAAGCAUGUGGAUAAACAAUCGAUACUACACAGUGUAUGUUUUUAAUAAGCUAUGAUGUUCAGUGGGUUGACAUAUUAAAUGCAUUUUGACUUAUGAUAUUGUCACUUUGUGAUAAUUUAUUCAGAUAUAUUCCCAGUGUAAAUUGAGGAGCAUCUGGAUGAAGACUUGAUAAAAUCUUCUUUGGGUUGACAUGAUUGGAUACUUUUGAGCUUCAUAUAUUUGGAUGUUCAUAUCUCUUACCAGAUGUGAGAAUUUUUCAGCCAUAAUUAAAAUAUAUAUUUUAAAAUUAUUUAUCUAAUUAUAUAUUUUUCAUUAAAAAAUACAUAUUCCUUUGUAUCUUCCUGUUUGGAGACUCUUAAAAUGUGAAUGCUAGCUCUUUUGUGGGUGUCCUGAAGACCCCAUAGGUUUUCUUUGUUCUUUUUAUUCUUUUUUUUUCUCCUCUGACUGCAUAUUUUCAAAUGACCUAUCUUAGAGUUCACAAAUUCUUCUGCCUAAUCAAAUUUGCCAUUCACUCUACGACAUAUUUUAUUUCAUUCUUUGUAUUCUUUAGUUUCAGGAUUUUUGUUUGGUUCUUUUUAAAAAAAUACAAUUUUUAUCUCUUUAUUGAACUUCUUGUUUUGUUCACGUAUUGUUUUCCGAUAUUGUUUAGUUGACUGUGUUUUCUUAUAGCUUGCUGAGCUUCUUUAAAACCAUCAUUGUAAAUUAGUUUCAGGAAAUAGAAAGAUCUCCUUAUUUGGGGCUGGUUGCUGGAAUAUUAUUGUGUUCCUUUGGUGGAGUCAUAUUUCCUUGAUUUUUCAUGUUCCUUGAUGUUUUGUGUUUCUGCUUUCACAUUUUCAGAAAUGGUCAUCUCCUCCAGUCUUUAUUGACUAUUCUGGGGAUCGUCACCAAAUAUCUCAGCUAGGAGUUCUGGGGCCCUCUCAGACCUUUCCAAUGAAUGCCCUGAGUUCACACUUUGGUUCUCUUUGGUGGGAGAUUUCUUACGCUUGUGUGUCUUCUCCCAACCCUAAAAAGCCAACCUAGGUGAUGCCUUGAAAUAUUUAAGUUGUGUACCUUCCUCCAAGUUCACAAAGUUGAGGGGCUUGUUUUUGUAAGAUGCUUGCGUUUGCCUUCUGUAGGGGUAUGUGUUUUAGGCAGGGUAGCUAUGAGAGAUAGCCCUGAGGUUGAGGAGUAUUUGUGGUGUCCAUGGCCACUGGUUUCAUGCGGGGGGGGGGCACAAACGAUGCAUCUCACGUGGCUCCUGGGUGGGCUUCCUAAUGGAAUCUGCAGAGUGGUUAGUAGGACCUGUUACUUCCAUUCCUAGCUUCAGUUUGUCCCAAACGCUCAGCCAUCCUGAUCACUUCUGUAUUCUGCAUGGGGUGAGAGAGUGGUAAGCCUCUUGGGCAACGUCCUGCCUGGCUGGAGGAGCUGGGUAUGACUCACUUUUCCCCAUGGGGAAAAUCAUGGGGUAAGGUGUCUCUUGGCACUAGGUUGUGCUGUGAUGGGGGAGGAUGACAUGGGUAAAGUGCAACUCUUCUUUUUGCCCCCUUAAAUACUUCUCAGAUUUUUCUUUUCUCCAAAGCACUGGAUCCUCUUUUCUGGAUUCCUGGACUCCCAAAAGACACUCUUGUCCACUGGUAGUUGGUUGUCAAAAUCAGUGCUUCUUUAUUUGUACAUGUGGUGUAAGUGUGUAUAAAUAUAGCAUGGGGGAUCAUGGUAGACAGCUCCUGUCCCACCACCUUGCUGACAUCAUUCCCCAUUCCCAUCACUUCUCAGGUUUCAUCUCUGAGCUCCGAUGGUCAGUCCUAUUACCUGAGCUCCAGUGUGUACUAAGAGUGUGUGUCUAUCCUUCACUUCUGUACUUAGCUUUGCAGAAGCAAGUAAAUAAAUAGAUCCUUGAAUUGGUGGUGGAAUCCUCAAUAGUACUAAUUCCAACUUGCUUGAUAUGUCUGCUUUAUGUCCUCAUUUGUGGUGUUUACGUGGUAUCUAGUAGCUCAUCCCUUCAUUUUAACUUUUCUUUAGCAUAAAGACUGUUACACUUAAUUUUAUAUUAUAUACAAUUUAAAAAUUUAUUCUAUUUCAUAAUUAGUAUUUAUUUUAAUAGCAAUUCCUCUUUUUCAUAUUGUCACUCAUGACAGAUCUCCUGGAUUCAUCCUCAUUUUAAAAAUAUUUGCAAGGAAGUUCCUUCCAUGUGUUUUACAAUCACUGGUUCACACAUCUUCAGUGGUAUAUGAACUUCUCCUCCCCGCCUUCAGUUCACUCACUGACUUGCUCAGUGGUUGGGCUGCCAGAUGCAGAAGAUGAGUCCCCCUGUUCAGUGUCACUGAGAUGUCUUCAAGGCCACAGACCCCAGAGGUACUCAACAGGUCUCACCGUAGGAGUCCUCAGAUCCCCACGUGCCAUACUGAAUCUGUCACUAAAAUUCAGGUGCUAGCCUCAUGCUUCUUCCUCAGCUCAAGAAACCAAAAGUGAAAAUCAGAGAGGAAGCAUAUGAGUGUGGUCUAUGCAGAGAAGACUACACGGAUGUACAUCCUGUGCUGUCCAACACAGCACGUGCAGCUGUGACCAUGUGGCCCAUAGUGCCUGCAUUACACCAAGCGUGAACACUGUAUCUCCAGAGAGUUCCUCUGGACACUGAUGCAGUCAUAUGUCCCGUGCACAGACAAGUCCUUGCCGGUCCAUUUCAAACAUUGGUUAGCCAAUGUGCCUAUGCACAUCUCAAGAGCCUUGAUAAAUUGCUGAGCCUGGCCUUGAACUUCUGAUCCUCCUGCUUCAGCCUCCUGAGUCACUGGGAUUGCAAGCAUACAUCACUGCGCCUGGUUAAAUUUGAAGUCUUAUCACAAAAACGGUUUUGUUUGAUCUGAAGGAAGCCAAAGGAAAGGUGUCAAUUCCGUCUGCUACCAACAGAUGGCGAUAGCAGUCACUGUAAAUCCUGACUUUAGAUGCAAAUGAUUGGGAAGACUUCGUUCUGGACCCUCAUCUCUUCAGAAUGAAGAAGACCUUGAUAAUCCUACGAAACUGGCUGGUUUCUUCCGUCUGUCCUCCUCUCCAUCACUCUCCUUUUUCUUCCUUCCUUCUUUAUUCUUUUCUCCUUCCUGGCUCUCACUUUCUCUUCCUUCCUUCUUUUCCUUUCUUGCCCAGCCUUGGAAUGUAUUAGAAUUUCCAAAGAAUCAAAGCUUUAUUUUGAAACUUCAUGUCAUUCUUCAGCUUUUAAUAAAAGUUAAGUGCUUGGUUUAUCUUUUAUAUUAUUUAA